GCCAGCCCUUCAGGUUCCUUCCUGCCUGUACACCGCCAUCUCAGCCUCGGUCGUGGUGGGCCAGUCUGCAGGCCACCCCCUUCCAUUCCUGUCGUGGGGCCCACACCAGCAACUUCACAGACUCCUGUUCCCUGUGCAGCUGACAUCUCUGCCGCCCACACCCACACCCUGCGGUCUGUGCUGCCAACGGCAUCUCCUCCGCGACUCUAAGCUCGGCGGCUGCCAUCUUCCCCGUGGACAUCACUGCAGGCCCAUCACCGUCUGGCACAGUCUCUCCUGCCAUGUCUGCCACAGAGGAGCACGACUGGAUGCCAGUUCCGGUCCCAAAGUCUGUAUUAUACUUCACGAAAGAAGCGAGUGAUUAUCAGUAUGAAGAGUCUGAUGAAGAGGUCCAAGAAGCUGAAGGUGAGGAGGAGGACAGCGAUAAAAAACCAGAAGAAGGACCUGGAAAGGACCUGGACCCAGCAGAGGACAGCCCCGGAGAACCCAGUUUUGCCAAGGCUAUAUUUAUGGCCCUGGAUGUGAUCUAUCCUGGAGAAUGUUCCAUGUACACUUGAGAAAAAGCUGUCAAGCAUAGAAAGACAUGAUGGAGGAAGAAACAAUGGACGUGUCCCUCACGAAUGAGAUUUUCGGCUUCUCAGUAGCCAGUGGGAAUUUUAUCAACACUGGUUUUGUUCCAGAUUUCAUCAUGUGAAAUGUCUUAUCCACUGACAUCUGACUUUUUUUCUUACAUUUGUCAGAUAUAUUUGACUGCGUUUGUUCAUGAUAAAAAUAAAAAUUUGCUAGCCAUGGAUAAGCCGCAGAUUUUUCUGAUGUGUAACACUGAUGCAAAUCUUGUAUCUUUUUGUUUUUG
Long non-coding RNA from Bos taurus (domestic cattle), 853 nucleotides. The record is from Ensembl. Lineage: Eukaryota; Metazoa; Chordata; Mammalia; Artiodactyla; Bovidae.